Molecule: microRNA precursor, 57 nt
Filed under: Tribolium castaneum (red flour beetle)
Lineage: Eukaryota; Metazoa; Arthropoda; Insecta; Coleoptera; Tenebrionidae
Description: Tca-Mir-3-P6_pre stem-loop
Source: RNAcentral
GGAUAAACCAUACUCAGUUGAUGUAUUAUAAAGCAUCACUGGGUAGAGUUUGUCCAA